This 253-nucleotide ribosomal RNA is filed under the name uncultured bacterium. RNAcentral's name for it is "partial 16S ribosomal RNA". It matches the Rfam family "Bacterial small subunit ribosomal RNA", at positions 524 to 776 of the family's 1533-position model. The record is from RNAcentral.
UACGGAGGGUGCAAGCGUUAUCCGGAAUCACUGGGUUUAAAGGGUGCGUAGGCGGCACUGUAAGUCAGGGGUGAAAGGCUACAGCUCAACUGUGGAAUUGCCAUUGAUACUGCGGUGCUAGAAUGAGAUUGAGGUAAGCGGAAUGUGGCAUGUAGCGGUGAAAUGCAUAGAUAUGCCAUAGAACACCAAUUGCGAAGGCAGCUUGCUAGAUCUUGAUUGACGCUGAGGCACGAAAGCGUGGGGAGCGAACAGG